This 492-nucleotide ribosomal RNA is filed under the name uncultured bacterium. RNAcentral's name for it is "bacterial SSU rRNA". It matches the Rfam family "Bacterial small subunit ribosomal RNA", at positions 903 to 1397 of the family's 1533-position model. The record is from RNAcentral.
AAAGGAAUAGACGGGGGCCCGCACAAGCGGUGGAGCAUGUGGUUUAAUUCGAUGCAACGCGAAGAACCUUACCAGGGCUUGACAUCCCUCUGACGGGUCUAGAGAUAGGCCUUCCCUUUGGGCAGAGGAGACAGGUGGUGCAUGGCUGUCGUCAGCUCGUGUCGUGAGAUGUUGGGUUAAGUCCCGCAACGAGCGCAACCCUUGCCUUUAGUUGCCAUCAUUAAGUUGGGCACUCUAGAGGGACUGCCGGCGACAAGUCGGAGGAAGGUGAGGUUGACGUCAAGUCAUCAUGCCCCUUAUGUCCUGGGCUACACACGUGCUACAAUGGGCAGUACAGAGGGGAGCGAAGGGGUGACCUGGAGCAAAUCCCAAAAAGCUGCUCUCAGUUCGGAUUGCAGUCUGCAACUCGACUGCAUGAAGUCGGAAUCGCUAGUAAUCUCGGGUCAGCAUACCGAGGUGAAUACGUUCCCGGGCCUUGUACACACCGCCCGU